This is a long non-coding RNA of Saccostrea echinata, 608 nucleotides long. RefSeq lists it as uncharacterized. The transcript is spliced from 2 exons. The record is from RefSeq and is a predicted model, not a curated record. Lineage: Eukaryota; Metazoa; Mollusca; Bivalvia; Ostreida; Ostreidae.
AAUCCACUGGCUCAGCAGGUGACUGGCCGGUUUCCUAGGAAACAGGCAUCCUAAUCAGCUCUGUUUCGUAAACUCGGAGUGGUCACAUCUUAUCACUUGCAACACUUGAACAAAGCUGCAUAUAUAUGUGCGUGUCCGUUUGGAAUUGCAAGACAGAGAAAAUGGAUUGUUUUAGCCCUUGAAAUCGUCUGGUGGGGAGAAAACCCUUUGUGUUACAAGACAAUUGAUGUUUGGAAUGUAAUGGACAGGACAGUGAGUGAUUUAUCUCAAUUAUCAGUGUGAGAGAUAUGGAUUUUACAGACAAAGAAACAAUAACAUGAACAGGAAAAAAGGAGUGAAUGGUUCAGAAGUAAUAUGGGCAGGAGAACAUUCCAAAGUUUCACAAAUUUGAACACUGGGACUCUAGAGGAAUAUUAUAUAGUGACUGAAGUAAUAUCAGAUAGACUUAAAAAAACAUUGAACUACAUUUAUUUCCCUCUGUUGAUUUCAUUCCAUAGGUGUGACAAAAAAUAGAGCAUUUGUUUGAGGAACAAGAUAAUUUACCAUGCAGGAUUUAUUCAAUCAAUUGUAUUUUACUCGUAAUUAUGGAAAUAAAAAGGUUACAGGAA